UACGUAGGGUCCGAGCGUUGUCCGGAGUUACUGGGCGUAAAGCGCGCGCAGGCGGCGGUGCUGGCCCGGCGUGAAAGCCCCCGGCUCAACCGGGGAGGGUCGUCGGGGACCGCACCGCUUGAGGGCGGUAGGGGCUGGUGGAAUGCCUGGUGUAGUGGUGAAAUGCGUAGAGAUCAGGCGGAACACCCGUGGCGAAGGCGGCCAGCUGGGCCGUCCCUGACGCUGAGGCGCGAAAGCUAGGGGAGCGAACGGG
This 253-nucleotide ribosomal RNA is filed under the name uncultured bacterium. RNAcentral describes it as "partial 16S ribosomal RNA". It matches the Rfam family "Bacterial small subunit ribosomal RNA", at positions 524 to 776 of the family's 1533-position model. The record is from RNAcentral.